This 2184-nucleotide ribosomal RNA is filed under the name Triticum aestivum (bread wheat). RNAcentral's name for it is "partial small subunit ribosomal RNA". Lineage: Eukaryota; Viridiplantae; Streptophyta; Magnoliopsida; Poales; Poaceae. The record is from RNAcentral.
AUGAUUUCUCCGUAUACGAAACUUUCUUUUGAUGAUUGCUUAAGCAACCCUAAGCAAGUUUUGCAGAUAUGUGAAGAAACUAAUCUUGUCUUGAAUUGGGAGAAGUGCCACUUUAUGGUUAAUGAAGGUCUUGUCUUGGGGCACAAAAUCUCCAAAAGAGGUAUUGAAGUUGAUAAAGCUAAAGUUCAUGCAAUUGAAAAAAUGUCAUGUCCUAACGAUAUCAAAGGUAUAAGAAGUUUCCUUGGUCAUGUUGGUUUCUAUAGGAGAUUUAUUAAAGACUUCUCUAAAAUUUGUAGGCCUCUUACUAAUCUCUUGCAAAAAGAUGUGCCAUUUGUUUUUGAUGAUGAUUGUGUAGAAGCAUUUGAAAUACAUAAGAAAGCCUUAAUCUCUACACCUAUUGUUCAACCACCUGAUUGGAACCUACCCUUUGAAAUUAUGUGUGAUGCUAGUGAUUAUGUUGUUGGUGUUGUCCUAGGACAAAGAGUUGAUAAUAAAUUAAAUGUUAUCCAUUACGCUAGUAAAACUGUCGACAAUGCUCAAAUAAAUUAUGCUGCUACUGAAAAAGAAUUUUUAGCAGUUGUGUUUGCUUGUGAUAAAUUCAGACCUUACAUUGUUGACUCCAAAGUAAUUGUUCACACCGAUCAUGCUGCUAUUAAAUACCUUAUGGAAAAGAAAGAUGCUAAACCUGGACUUAUUAGGUGGGUUCUCUUUCUACAAGAAUUUGAUUUAUAUAUUACUGAUAGGAAAGGGGCUGAGAACCCUGUAGCAGAUAACUUGUCUAGGUUAGAAAAUAUUCUUGAUGACCCACUACCUAUUGAUGAUAGCUUCCCUGAUGAACAAUUAGCAGUCAUAAAUACUUCUUGUGGUACUCCUUGGUAUGCAGACUAUGCUAACUAUAUCGUUGCCAAAUUUAUACCACCUAGUUUCACAUACCAACAAAAUAAAAAGUUUUUCUAUGAUUUAAAACAUUACUUUUGGGAUGACCUACACGUAUAUAAAGAAGGAGUAGAUGGUGUUAUUAGAUGUUGUAUACCUGAGCAUGAGCAGGAACAAAUCCUAUGGAAAUGUCAUUCCGAGGCUUACGGAGGACACCAUGCUGGAGAUAGAACUGCACACAAGGUAUUACAAUCUGCUUCUUAUUGGCCUACUCUUUUCAAGGAUGCACAUAAGUUUGUCUUGUCUUGUGAUGAAUGUCAAAGAAUUGGUAAUAUAAGUAGACGCCAGGAAAUGCCUAUGAAUUAUUCACUUGUUAUGGAACCAUUUGAUGUUUGGGGAUUUGAUUUUAUGGGACCUUUUCCUUUCUCUAAUGGGUAUACACAUAUUUUGGUUGCUGUUGAUUACGUUACUAAGUGGGUAGAAGUUAUUCCAAGUAGUAAUGCUGAUCACAACACUUCUAUUAAAAUGCUUAAUGAAGUUAUCUUCCCGAUGUUUGGAGUCCCUAGAUAUUUAAUGACUGAUGGUGGUUCACAUUUUAUUCAUGGUGCUUUCCGUAAGUUGCUUGCUAAGUAUGAUGUUAACCAUAUAAUUGCAUCUCCAUAUCAUCCUCAAUCUAGUGGUCAAGUAGAAUUAAGCAAUAGAGAAAUAAAAUCGAUCUUGCAAAAGACUGUUAAUAGAUCUAGGAAAAAUUGGUCUAAGAAACUUGAUGAUGCAUUAUGGGCUUAUAGAACUGCUUAUAAAAAUCCUAUGGGUUUGUUUCCAUACAAAAUGGUAUAUGGGAAAGCAUGUCACUUACCUCUUGAAUUAGAAUAUAAAGCUUAUUCGACAAUUAAAGAGCUCAACUAUUAUUUCAAACUUGUCGGUGAAAAGAGGUUAUUUGACAUUAGCUCACUUGAUGAAUGGAGAACCCAAGCCUAUGAAAAUGCCAAGUUUUUUAAAGAAAAGGUUAAAAGAUGGCAUGACAAAAGAAUACAAAAGCGGGAAUUUAAUGUAGGUGACCAUGUCUUGCUAUACAAUUCUCGUUUAAGAUUUUUUGCAGGAAAACUUCUCUCUAAGCGGGAAGGACCUUUCAUUAUCGAAGAAGUUUAUCAUUCCAGUGCCAUCAAGAUCAACAACGCCGAAGGCACUAAUCUGAAGGUGGUGAAUGGGCAAAGAAUCAAACAUUAUAUCUCAGGUACGCCUAUAAAUGUUGAUACCAACAUUAUUAAUCUAAUAACACCAGAGGAGUACAAAAAGGAAACCUUCUAG